AUAUGAAACGUAUUGCAGAGAGCCUACAAAGUAGAGAGGUGUGUUGAAUUCUGUGAAUUUUGUUUGAGUGAUUUUGAGGAUGAGAAAAAUAAUUAGUUGUUGUAAUUAUUUUUCUUUAAUAGUAAAUUUGUUUAGUGGAGUAGGCUUAUGCUGAACCACGUUAAAUUUAAUUUUAUGUUUUUUAUUUUGUGUGAGUAUGAUUUUUCACGACAGGACUAAAAGACAAGAAAUCUUAGGGCAGCUGCUACAUCCAAACUAGAAAUAAAACAAAACCAUAAUGCGAGGCCUAUUUAAUCUCCAAAUAAGAUUUGCAGAAAAAUGCAAGUGGAUUGUCAAUCAGAUGGUUUAAUCUUCAUUUAGACUCUUAUGGUCUUCUACACAACUUUCAAGUUUUCCUUGCAGGUUGAUAUAGAGUAAUUAAUAUUGUGUAUGGCUGCAAGCAAGAGCCAAUGUCAUCCUAAUCCUAUAUAUAGAAAUGUGUGCAUCAUUCACUAGCUUUCAUCACAAAUUGAAAGUAACAGCGCAAUCAUAUUCUCACAGCUUUCCCAGGGUGUGUUGCACGUGCUGCAAGAAAAGCAGCUAUGCUAUCAGUUGUUCCUGUGCAUACAACACAAUCUUCUGGAAAUCCUGCAAGGAUGCAUUAUACCAAAUAUCAAAUCACAAUGCCUAAAAUGGAUAAAAUGGGCAGAUUGCAGCCUCAAAACUUGAAAUUUGGUGAGUUUGGAGCAGUUUUAAGGUGCAGUAGCAGGGAACAGGGGAAUUCACAGGCAUAAUUUCCUAAAAAAAUCAUUGCUUUUGGAGUAAACAGACAUAAAUUCAAAGAUAGUAUAACUUCAAAUUGAAUAAUUUGAGGCAAUAGGACGAUAAAAUACAGCAAUCUUGCAUGUCAGGAGGCCAUUUUUAAUCAUAAAUUGUUGCUGAAUGGCAUAAUCGAUUCUCUCUGUGAGCUAUGAGAGGUCAUUUUCCGAUAAUCUGUCUGUCAAUCCAAAGUUUAACGAAGUCCAUGGAACUUAUCAGUAAGUCACUUGCAGUUUCAAAACUUAGUAAAAGCUUAUUGCUCUAUUUUCUGUCAAACAGAAACAAGAUGAAGAAAAGCCAAUUUUAUUCUUGGCCCUCGAAAUGUGCCAAAAAUUUCAAGGAGCAUAUCAGCAUAGAUUUAAAUCUCCAUGAAUUAGUAUAAGGCCAAAUAAGGGUUAUCUAAGUAUAUUAGGAACAUCUUAGGGCUCAGCUCCAUUCAAAUGCCAGAUCAAGUGAUGUCAAAGUUCAUCAGGCAUUAGAAGUCAUAUUACUAACUCAACCAAAUGGAUAUUAGUUAUAUAAGAUCUUAUAAUCAUAACUAUGUCACCCAGAUUUUCGUAUCCUUGAAUAAAACUUCAACAAGUUGACUAAAUAUCCCAUUGACUAACUUGUAUAAAGAGAGCUGAGAGAAUAACAAAACUGUGUUACUGGGCUACUUAAUAAUAAGGAAGCAUACCGAACUGGGUUCUAAUAUCCUCUUUUAAACAACCAAUUGAAGUUCCCGGAGCUGUAACAGAAGGUAAAACCUGUGAAUAUGGCUGAGCAAGCAGCCAUGGUGGAUAAGAAUCCACUUCUGGAUCAUAGCCAACCUUUAGAGCAUUAUUGUAAUCAGACACUCCAAGUUUUCCGUGAAGAAGCCACAAAAGCCAAUCUGCUUGGUGCAAUAAUAAUGCUGACUUUUUAUUUGAAUCCUCAGCAUUCCACCACGAGACAAGCUUGCACAGGGUAGACGAUCCAGAGCAGACUGUAUGGUUUACAGGAGCAAUUGAUUUUACCAUUGGCAAUGCAUCGGGACAACUCUCAUUGUAGAGGAAAGGUCUCCAUAAUGGUUCUCCUGUAGUGCCGUCCACAAUGAUAGUAGUCGCAGAAGUACCAUCAAUAGAAAUAGAAGCAACAAGCGGGCGGAAAUGAACAGGAACAUCCUUUAGAAGCGAGAAAAUUGUUGUCUUCCAAGAUUGGAUCCAAUCCAUUGUUUCCCCACUCUUUCUAGACAGCAGAAACAAGAUUCUCAAACUAUGUUGUCAACUAAAUUUUGCUGGAAUUAAUACACCAUUGAGAUUCUUUUUUUCCUCUUCUUUUCUUUUUUUCGCACAUUCAAUUGCAUAUCUUGAGAGAGAGUAUGCCAAUAAGCACCAUGCAGAUAAAGAUACAGGAUAAACUAAAGCAGCAGCUUGAAAAGCAAGGAAAAUACAAUUCUUGCUAAACUUGAGAUUGAUCACACAAUUUCCAGAAGAAUUUCGCGUACAUGGUGAGGUAUUCAACUCCAAUCCAAGUUACAGAACUCCAAAACGAUUCUCAAAAAAUCCAUUUCCAAUUCUGGGCAUUUCAAUUCUUCAUACAUGAGAAGAAUUUCAAAAACUAUAGUUUGACAAGAAAAAAUCUUACCAUACAAAGCGGGUAUUCUCUCUUUCCUUCAGAAUGAAUAGUCCCAUGUUUGUCAAUAAGAGCAUAUCUGGCACCGGAGGUUCCAAAGUCCAUUCCUAGAUAAAGUCGCUCUCCAGGUUGAAGAACAGCUUCUUGGCUAUCUUUAUUGCUCGCAAAAGCCAUUAUCGCUCGUGGGUUUGGUUUUCUUGUGGCGCCAUGUAGCUCAGUUCUUGAAACAGACCUUCUCAGACUCCAAUACCUGGAUUUUGGAAACAGUGGACAGAGAACGGGGAAGAAAAAUGUAAGGUGGUGAAGUGAGACAGCCAUGAACUAUUCAGAAC
RNAcentral lists this unclassified non-coding RNA (2723 nucleotides) under Hevea brasiliensis (rubber tree). The record is from RNAcentral. Lineage: Eukaryota; Viridiplantae; Streptophyta; Magnoliopsida; Malpighiales; Euphorbiaceae.